This 73-nucleotide small nucleolar RNA is filed under the name Catagonus wagneri (Chacoan peccary). RNAcentral's name for it is "Small nucleolar RNA SNORD113/SNORD114 family (ENSCWAG00000005244.1)". It matches the Rfam family "Small nucleolar RNA SNORD113/SNORD114 family". From Rfam's summary of the family: The imprinted human domain at 14q32 contains two clusters of tandemly repeated small nucleolar RNAs named 14q(I) and 14q(II) snoRNAs. Lineage: Eukaryota; Metazoa; Chordata; Mammalia; Artiodactyla; Tayassuidae. The record is from Rfam by way of RNAcentral.
UGGAUCAAUGAUGCCUCCCCGUGGCGUUAUGAGUCACAUGUGAUGAAAACAUGCCUGGAACUCUGAGGUCCGA